GACGAACGCUGGCGGCGUGCCUAACACAUGCAAGUCGAACGCAGUGGGGACGGGUGAGUAACACGUGGGUAACCUCCCAUCAGAGGGGAUAACACUUGGAAACAGGUGCUAAACCGAUAUUGAUGGUUGGACCCGCGGUGCAUUAGCUAGUUGGUGAGGUAACGGCUCACCAAGGCCACGAUGAAUAGCGGGCCUGAGAGGGUGAUCGGCCACACUGGGACGGAGACACGGCCCAGACUCCUACGGGAGGCAGCAGUGGGGAAUAUUGGGCAAUGGACGAAAGCCUGACCGAGCAACGCCGCGUGAGUGAAGAAGGUUUUCGGAUCGUAAAACACUGUUGUUAGAGAAGCGGUAUCUAAACAGAAAGCCACGGCUAACUACGUGCCAGCAGCCGCGGUAAUAC
This 403-nucleotide ribosomal RNA is filed under the name uncultured bacterium. RNAcentral describes it as "partial 16S ribosomal RNA". It matches the Rfam family "Bacterial small subunit ribosomal RNA", at positions 28 to 526 of the family's 1533-position model. The record is from RNAcentral.